ACGAAGGGGGCUAGCGUUGUUCGGAAUCACUGGGCGUAAAGGGCGCGUAGGCGGCUUUGUAAGUCGGGGGUGAAAGCCUGUGGCUCAACCACAGAAUUGCCUUCGAUACUGCAUGGCUUGAGACCGGAAGAGGUAAGUGGAACUGCGAGUGUAGAGGUGAAAUUCGUAGAUAUUCGCAAGAACACCAGUGGCGAAGGCGGCUUGCCAGAAUGCGCUCGACGGUGAGGGAUGAAAGCUGGGGGAGCAAACCGGA
RNAcentral lists this ribosomal RNA (253 nucleotides) under uncultured prokaryote. Its description in RNAcentral is "partial 16S ribosomal RNA". It matches the Rfam family "Bacterial small subunit ribosomal RNA", at positions 525 to 777 of the family's 1533-position model. The record is from RNAcentral.